This 230-nucleotide non-coding RNA is filed under the name Listeria monocytogenes. RNAcentral describes it as "T-box". It matches the Rfam family "T-box leader". From Rfam's summary of the family: Uncharged tRNA acts as the effector for transcription antitermination of genes in the T-box leader family. T-boxes are found upstream of many aminoacyl-tRNA synthetase genes and some amino acid biosynthetic genes usually in Gram-positive bacteria. Lineage: Bacteria; Bacillati; Bacillota; Bacilli; Caryophanales; Listeriaceae. The record is from RNAcentral.
CUAAAGACAAUGAAAGAGCCAAGUAGCAUAGUGAGUCUGUAUAGGGAGAAGUGGUCAUAGACUGAAAGCCACUUUACAAACGAAUUUGUGAACAUUUCACCUCUGGAGUCGCCCCCCGAGAAGCACUUUAUGUGUGAAGGUGGUCCGGUUACUAAGCCGUUAUCGAAUUUUGAGUGGGAACAAUUUUUUGUUCUUAUUAGGGUGGUACCGCGAGAAGUCUCGUCCCUUUG